RNAcentral lists this long non-coding RNA (694 nucleotides) under Amphimedon queenslandica. Its description in RNAcentral is "uncharacterized LOC109584042". The record is from RNAcentral. Lineage: Eukaryota; Metazoa; Porifera; Demospongiae; Haplosclerida; Niphatidae.
GAUAUACAAACACAUGGAUUGGAAACGGUGGGGAUCACGUGAUCAUUUCACCUAACAUUUCAAUGGGAGAGGCUACAACUGGAAAAAAACCUAGGCGUGUUACGGGUUAAAAAUAGAUAGUCAGGAAUAUUCUUCAGAAAAGUCUUGAGAAAAUCAACUGUCUAAUGACUUUUUAAGAUUUGAGAAGUCUUCGGGCUAGGAAAACUUUGGCUGCAUAAAGUUCUCUUUUGAAGCUUCUACCUUGAUAUCACAACAGCUAUUAUGAUGAGACCUUUGGAUUGAUGUGGCUAUUAUCCAAUGUACUGAGUGUUUCUUAUCUUAAUUUCUCGCUUAGGCUGUGUUUUAUUGAGGAAUCGAGAAUAAUCGGACCCACGGUGGAAUUUCUCCCUCUCGCAACUUCAUGACGACUAAUGAAGAAAAUCUGUGGUAUUAGUACAGUUCCCUAGGAAACUCUCCAAUGUAAUGAGCUACAAUGAAGUGACUGUGUUGUUCCUGUGGAUAUUUUUAAGGCUGUUUCUGCCAUGAAGAAUACUGCCAUUUAUUGAUUGUUUUUAAUAAACUUACUAUGCAUGCAUCUAUUAUUUGGUUCCAACUAUUAGUGUUUACAUUAUAGAAUUGUUAUUAAGUGUCAGUGAUACUAUAGAGUCAAGAAAUAUUCAAUAAACAGGGUUUGUAAUUUUACAUCUAUAAGGCA